This is a non-coding RNA of Oryctolagus cuniculus (rabbit), 1242 nucleotides long. NCBI's taxonomy places the organism in Eukaryota, Metazoa, Chordata, Mammalia, Lagomorpha, Leporidae. The record is from RefSeq and is a predicted model, not a curated record.
AACCUCCGCGCGCGUGCGGACGCGGCCCGGCCACGCCGAUGUCAGCCCGGCUUCGGGGGCGUCACGGGCGCCGGGCGGCCGCGCCAAAGCCCGCCCUGCCUCUCGCUCCUAGAGCCCCGGACCUCGGCGACAGGGGCAGACGCUGCGGGCACUUGGGUGCCCCGGCUCCCCGCCCCGCACCACUCCCAGCAUCGCGGGCGGCUCUGCUGCCCCGCAUGUCCCAGCCUGCUUCUCCACUCGCGGGGCCCUGGCCUACGGGGAGACGGCCGCUCGAGGCCGGACUGUCCCACGCUCCGUGCUAGAAGGUGGGCGUACGCCGAGAACUGGGGCCGGUGAGGCCAGCUCAGGGGGCACCAGCGCGGAGGGGACGCCCCAGCACGCACCGGCGCCUCCGCCCGCGGCCAGCGCAGUCCCCGGCCCGCCGCGCGCGGGGAAGUUGCUGGCGCCGCGCCCCCCGCGCACCCCGCGCCCCGGCCGCGCGAUUGGCCGCCGCCUCCGGCUCCGCGAGAUCCCAUUGGUCCGGGGGCGGGGCCCGAGCCGGAGCACCCGGGCUACGUAACCGCAGGCGAGUGGGCGGCGACGAAGACCCCAGAGCGUUCCGUGACGGAGGCCGGCUCGCGGCCAAUCCUCGGCUGAUCCCGGCGGGCCCGGGGCGUGGGCGGGAACGGCGUGACCGCGAGAAGAUUCGGCCCGGCGCGGGGGGCGGGGCCGCUGGGCCAGCGAGGCAGUCGUAGGGCUCCGGAGCUGUCCGUCACCAGAGAGCUGAACACAGGUAACUCACCAAUGAUGAUGAUGAUGAUGAAGACCAGAACACUGAUCCCGAUCGCCCACAUCUGCAACAGACAUCACGGGCUUACUGAAGAGUAUCUCACAAUUCCAGUCACCGAGAGAGAAACGCAGGUGUCCACAAUCCGAACAACUAAAGCCUAACCACAGCAGAGAAAGCUGCUGCCCGCAGUGCUGGCAUCCCACAUGGGCACUGCAUCGCGUCCUGGCUGCUCACUCCCGAUCCGGCUGUCUGCUAUGGCCUGGGAAAGUAGAAGACGAUGGCCUAAGCGCUUGGGCCCCUGCACCAGCGUGGGAGACCUGGAAGAAACUCCUGGCUUCGGACUGGCAUUGUUCUGGCCAUUGUGGCCAACUGGAGAGUGACCCAGUGGAUUGAAGACCUGACUCACUCACUCUCUCUGCCUCUCCUUCUCUGUGUAACUCUUUCAGAUUAAUAAAUAAAUCUUUUAAAAAACA